GGCCCGUUCGCCAAGUUGGCUAAGGCAACGGUUUGCAAAACCGUCAUCAUCGGUUCGAAUCCGGUACGGGCCU
This 73-nucleotide transfer RNA is filed under the name SAR324 cluster bacterium. RNAcentral describes it as "tRNA-Cys". It matches the Rfam family "tRNA". Rfam says of the family: Transfer RNA (tRNA) molecules are approximately 80 nucleotides in length. Their secondary structure includes four short double-helical elements and three loops (D, anti-codon, and T loops). Lineage: Bacteria; Deltaproteobacteria. The record is from RNAcentral.